This 578-nucleotide long non-coding RNA is filed under the name Mytilus galloprovincialis (Mediterranean mussel). Lineage: Eukaryota; Metazoa; Mollusca; Bivalvia; Mytilida; Mytilidae. The record is from RNAcentral.
GAAAAUUUGUCAACAGAAGGCAUGACAGGCUUAUAGGAUCUAUGUUAAUAUUUAUAAAUACAUAAAAUAGAUACUUACAGACUUUUGUUGUCUAUCCUGAUAUGUUCCUGGUGCCGUUUCAACCACGACAAAUACAAUACACAAAUGGAUAUUGAAUCGUCGCUCCUAAUCUUUGAAUAUCUUUCCUCCAUGUACUAACUCGAAUAAUUCAGCGCCCCUAUCCACUACUUUUCUCGAGGAAAUGGUUAAUGGAGUGAUCGAAGUGAUCGUAAUAUAACGACUGGAUUAUUCGGGUUAUCCAUGUACUGACAAAUAUAUUAAGAUACACGCUGUGGAUUUAUUAUGUAAUUUCCGUCGUUUGUUUGUCAUUAUCUAUCGUGCGAAAUUUUACAUUCGAAUGUUUAUAAUUUAUUAGGGUUUAUAUGAUCACGAUGGGCACAGUAUGUGGUCAUUAAAAUAUGAUAUGGGUAAUUAGCAUAUCAUAUGAUAACAAAUCUUGUUCGAAGAAACUUUAGAAUCGUAAGAUUUUAUAUUACAAUUCUCUUUUUCGUUUAGUUAGGUUAGAAUAUCUCAUAAUA